ACGAACGCUGGCGGCGUGCUUAACACAUGCAAGUCGAACGGAAAGGCCUGCAGCUUGCUGCGGGUACCCGAGUGGCGAACGGGUGAGUAACACGUGGGUGAUCUGCCUUGCACUUCGGGAUAAGCUUGGGAAACUGGGUCUAAUACCGGAUAGGACAGCUGUUUAGUGUCAGUUGUGGAAAGUUUUUUCGGUGCAAGAUGAGCUCGCGGCCUAUCAGCUUGUUGGUGGGGUAAUGGCCUACCAAGGCGUCGACGGGUAGCCGGCCUGAGAGGGUGUACGGCCACAUUGGGACUGAGAUACGGCCCAGACUCCUACGGGAGGCAGCAGUGGGGAAUAUUGCACAAUGGGCGGAAGCCUGAUGCAGCGACGCCGCGUGGGGGAUGAAGGCCUUCGGGUUGUAAACUCCUUUCGACAGGGACGAAGCUUUUGUGACGGUACCUGUAUAAGAAGCACCGGCUAACUACGUG
This 467-nucleotide ribosomal RNA is filed under the name uncultured bacterium. RNAcentral's name for it is "partial 16S ribosomal RNA". It matches the Rfam family "Bacterial small subunit ribosomal RNA", at positions 29 to 507 of the family's 1533-position model. The record is from RNAcentral.